RNAcentral lists this ribosomal RNA (314 nucleotides) under uncultured Streptococcus sp. RNAcentral's name for it is "bacterial SSU rRNA". It matches the Rfam family "Bacterial small subunit ribosomal RNA", at positions 1069 to 1382 of the family's 1533-position model. Lineage: Bacteria; Bacillati; Bacillota; Bacilli; Lactobacillales; Streptococcaceae. The record is from RNAcentral.
GAGAUGUAGGGUUAAGUCCCGCAACGAGCGCAACCCUUGUCUUUAAUUGCCAUCAUUGAGUUGGGCACUUUAAAGAGGCUGCCGGUGUUAAACCGGAGGAAGGUGGGGAUGACGUCAAAUCAUCAUGCCCCUUAUGACCUGGGCUACACACGUGCUACAAUGGUUGGUACAACGAGUUGCGAGUCGGUGACGGCGAGCUAAUCUCUUUAAAAGCCAAUCUCAGUUCGGAUUGUAGGCUGCAACUCGCCUACAUGAAGUCGGAAUCGCUAGUAAUCGCGGGUCAGCACGCCGCGGUGAAUACGUUCCCGGGCCUU